Oncorhynchus kisutch (coho salmon) is the source of this 2000-nucleotide long non-coding RNA. RefSeq lists it as uncharacterized. NCBI's taxonomy places the organism in Eukaryota, Metazoa, Chordata, Actinopteri, Salmoniformes, Salmonidae. The record is from RefSeq and is a predicted model, not a curated record. The transcript is spliced from 4 exons.
GGGCUCUGACAAGCACAAUUUACAUUGAGCUCGCCUCGCGCUGCUAUUUACUUUGAAACCUGAUUAGCCUACGGGCCGUCUAUUGUCACAAAAACAGGAAGAAACCCUGGAUAGAAUAGCCGAAAAGAUGGGUGAAAGAGGGGACAAAGCUUUGCGCACGUGAAAUAAACAAACGUGCGCGGCGAAAGGGACUCGCAUAGAAGGACUCGCAUAGAAUUCCCCAAAGUUUGAAAUGGUGCUGUGUUCCUGAAAAAGAUUCCAAACACAACAGCUGCUGCUUCUUUUCUUUAGAUUGAGCAAAGUCCUUCAAGGGAGUGAGCGACUGUGCAAACUGAUCGUGCCAUACUGAAAGGAACGUCAUGGCAAGUCCCCAUCCUUUGGAAUAAAGAGCAUCACCUUGUCACGCAGUCAGAAUCGACAGAGGGUUGUGAUGUCAUGUGUAAAACAAAUGUCUCUGUUUAUAUAAGCUCAGUCGCAGCAGCAGCCGUGACAUCGUGACGUCAGCCCCGUAGCACAAGGUGCGGCUCACACAACGGCCACGACCUGGAAUAAUUUGACCGUUGACAUCCGAAUAAUGUAGUCUUCAGAAGUAUUAAUAAUCACUCCAAAGAAAAUACUGAUUAUCAAAACUCCCAGCUUAGGUAGAUACUCCCUAUGCAUUUGUCUACAAGGUAAAGGGUUGCUAUUAUGCCUGUGUCAGUAGGUUAAAGGCAAGACAGACCAACACGAAUGUCGGCUGUGCACAGAGGACCGCCUACUGGACGACGACAGAACGGUUGCGACUCAACGUGUAGAAUCGCUGGGAAAUGAUCUGAAAAUCACGGCCAGUGUACUGUUGUCAGCGGUGGUGUGACGUCCAACCGCUGCGCACCUGCGGUGCACGGCCGACGUUCCUGUUGGUCUGUCUUGGCAUUACGACUAUAUAUGAGCUUCGCCAGUGUCCGUAGCUGAAGGUAUCUACUGUCAGAGAUGAUCAACAUGCCUGUGUCAGAGAUGAUCAACAUGCAUGUGUCAGAGAUGAUCAACAUGCCUGUGUCAGAGAUGAUCAACAUGCCUGUGCUUGUGUCCUCACUGCCCUGGCCCUGGAACCAGAGGACAUAUUUACAGGGUGUACUAACCUUAACGACACACUGCUCUCCUCUCCACCCCACUCAGAUAACCUUAAUCCCUUCUAUCCAGCAGCCCACACAGCUCUGAGGGCCAACGGAAACAGAAUCAAUGCUUUAUGAAUAUGUAUAUAAUGUAUAAUGACAUUCUCAAGUCCAAGUGUAUUUGUGAUGCCAUUCGUGUUUGAUUGUCAACGUUCUUAUUGUCAUAUUCAGAAGCUAAGGUGAAGCUAGCUAUAUCAUGCUACGCUGGGCAAAAAGGUUUUGGACGUACGUGAUCAAGUGCCUUUCCUUUACUAGUCGUUUAAUUUAUGUAUGUGGAUUCUGUGUGUGUGUGAGAGACCACAUGGCAAGUUUACCUCAGAUGACCCCGCUGACAUGAGGCGUCCGAGCUGAAUUCAAGCCGUGACAAAUGGGUUCUGGGCCUGAACAGCAGACAUUCCACAGCAUGUUCCUCUUCAGCAACUCCUCCUCUCCUUCCUCUCCUUAUCCCUUCCUACACUUCUCCUCGAAACACCUAUCUCUUCAAAGGUUGUAAGAAUGCAUUUAUCAAUCAAACAUAAACCUGUUGUAUGUAUUGGAAGAGGUUGUGGGAAUCACCCUGAACAUGAACUUCCGAGGAAGGCAAGCCUUUACAGAGCUAUUUGAAUGCAAUGCUCUACAAAGCUCUGGCGUAUUUGCAGAUGAAUAAAGGAAAAAGAGACUGGUGUUAGUAGAAAAAGAGAAGUCAACUCCUUGGAUGUUAGUAUCGUAAACCUUUCUUGAUCAGUGAUGUGGAGGUUGAGAGAAAAUAUAGCGCUGUGUUUAAACAGGAUGUGUAGGUUGUAGCAUCCUAUCCUACUCCCCCUGCAAUAUCCCCCCAUUUCUUUAGCCCUCCCUCCCUCCCUCCCUCCC